Molecule: ribosomal RNA, 460 nt
Filed under: uncultured bacterium
Lineage: Bacteria
Description: partial 16S ribosomal RNA
Rfam family: Bacterial small subunit ribosomal RNA
Source: RNAcentral
CCUACGGGAGGCAGCAGUGAGGAAUAUUGGUCAAUGGGCGCGAGCCUGAACCAGCCAAGUAGCGUGAAGGAUGACUGCCCUACGGGUUGUAAACUUCUUUUAUAAGGGAAUAAAAUGAGCCACGUGUGCCUUUUUGUAUGUACUUUAUGAAUAAGGAUCGGCUAACUCCGUGCCAGCAGCCGCGGUAAUACGGAGGAUCCGAGCGUUAUCCGGAUUUAUUGGGUUUAAAGGGAGCGUAGGUGGGUUGUUAAGUCAGUUGUGAAAGUUUGCGGCUCAACCGUAAAAUUGCAAUUGAUACUGGCAGCCUUGAGUACAGUAGAGGUAGGCGGAAUUCGUGGUGUAGCGGUGAAAUGCUUAGAUAUCACGAAGAACUCCGAUUGCGAAGGCAGCUUACUAAACUGCAACUGACACUGAGGCUCGAAAGUGUGGGUAUCAAACAGGAUUAGAUACCCGUGUAGUC